GUUGCUCCGAUGCUCUAGAUUACGCGAAGACCUUACCAAGGCUUGACAUAUAGAGGAAAAGUGCAGAAAUGCACUCCCCGCAAGGUCUCUAUACAGGUGGUGCAUGGUUGUCGUCAGCUCGUGUCGUGAGAUGUUGGGUUAAGUCCCGCAACGAGCGCAACCCUCGUCCUAUGUUGCCAGCACGUUAUGGUGGGAACUCAUGGGAUACUGCCGGGGUCAACUCGGAGGAAGGUGGGGAUGACGUCAAAUCAUCAUGCCCCUUAUGUCUUGGGCUUCACGCAUGCUACAAUGGCCGGUACAGAGGGCUGCAAUACCGCAAGGUGGAGCGAAUCCCAAAAAGCCGGUCUCAGUUCGGAUUGAGGUCUGCAACUCGACCUCAUGAAGUCGGAGUCGCUAGUAAUCGUAGAUCAGCAACGCUACGGUGAAUACGUUCCCGGGUCUUGUA
RNAcentral lists this ribosomal RNA (445 nucleotides) under uncultured bacterium. Its description in RNAcentral is "bacterial SSU rRNA". It matches the Rfam family "Bacterial small subunit ribosomal RNA", at positions 945 to 1385 of the family's 1533-position model. The record is from RNAcentral.